ACUCAAAUGAAUUGACGGGGGAGCGCACAACCGGUGGAGCAUGUGGUUUAAUUCGAUACAAAGCGAAAAACCUUACCCAGAUUUGACAUGUGCCUGCACGGUCUUGGAAACAAGAUCUUCUUCGAGAGUGGCACACAGGUGAUGCAUGGCUGUCGUCAGCUCGUGUCGUGAGACGUCCGCUUAAGUGCGGUAACGAGCGCAACCCCUACCGCCAGUUAUAUAUGUCUGUCGGAACUGCCCUCGUUUUUCGGGGGAGGAAGGAGGGGACGACGUCAAGUCAGCACGUCCCUUACAUCUGGGGCUACACACAUCCUACAAUGGAACUGACAAUGGGUCGCAAAAGGGCAACCUCGAGCUAAUCCCGUAAACUGUUCCUCAGUUCAGAUUGAGGGCUGCAACUCGCCCUCAUGAAGCCGGAAUCGGUAGUAAUCGCAAAUCAGCAGGUUGCGGUGAAUACGUUCUCGCUCCUUGUACACACCGCCCGU
This 485-nucleotide ribosomal RNA is filed under the name uncultured bacterium. Its description in RNAcentral is "partial 16S ribosomal RNA". It matches the Rfam family "Bacterial small subunit ribosomal RNA", at positions 899 to 1397 of the family's 1533-position model. The record is from RNAcentral.